This 566-nucleotide long non-coding RNA is filed under the name Lupinus angustifolius (narrow-leaved blue lupine). RNAcentral's name for it is "long non-coding RNA (LANG_LNC001188)". The record is from RNAcentral. Lineage: Eukaryota; Viridiplantae; Streptophyta; Magnoliopsida; Fabales; Fabaceae.
UUUUUAACUUCAUGUCUUGGGAUAUCAUGGCGAUCCAGAUGAUUAAUCUCAACAGAGUUCUGUUAAGAAAACAUUUCAUUUGAGGUGCGAAACAUUCUCAAUUAAAAGAAGUAUAGAGGAAAAUCAAACAAUGAGAUUAUAAUAUUUUAGCUUCAUUAUGGCAAUGCCUACAAUCAAGAACUUCAUCACAACAUGGUGCUCCAAUCUUGCACCUCCUUCUGUAAUGCAUGCACAUAAUACAAACAAAACAGGACUAAUAAAGAUUAGAAAUUUCAUCAUAUAAAAACAAAGAAAUAAACCCAACCACAUACAAUGGAUCAAAGAAGAAAGAGAAAAGGUUUAAACAUGAAGAGAUACAUAGUUACAUACCCAAAGUUGUUAAUUCCAAGUUCUUCCAUAGCAGAAACAAGUGAGGAGCUGACUUGAGAAGAAUCUGAUAAAAAAAGGGACAUGAAACAAGAUCUUCCUUGGUUUCAGAGUCUCCUGUUUAGAAAGGUAAAAGGAAAGAUACAAGGUCUUGCUCAAAAAUAGUAUGCACCCCACGUACUAUUAUAUCUAUAUUAGCA